Molecule: long non-coding RNA, 2023 nt
Filed under: Ailuropoda melanoleuca (giant panda)
Lineage: Eukaryota; Metazoa; Chordata; Mammalia; Carnivora; Ursidae
Description: lncRNA (ENSAMEG00000030608.1)
Source: RNAcentral
GGGGCCCAGGGCGCGGCCCCUUUUAACGGGCGGCCGGGCGCGGCGGGGAGGGGGCGGGCCGCUACACGCCCCCGGCCCUUAAAGGGCCCGCGCGUACGGGCCGGCCUCGGGGCACGCGGCGGAGGUGGCGCUCCGGCCGUUGGCGAGACUGGCCGCGGCCCGCAGCCACCAGCGCCCCACCCCACACAGCCCAAGGCCAAGGCGGAGGAAGAGGCCUGGGGCCUAGGACGGCCUUCCACCGCGGGAAGGCCUGAUUCUAACUACAAUACUAAAACUUCGUCUGAAAGAGAAGGAAGCGUGUUUGCAGUCAUUCUCAGUAACUUUCUCCGUCUGAAGUCCAUGCCAUCACCAGCACGUGUUGGAGGAUGGGCUGCUGCCAGUGGAGAGGUGGCUACCAGACCCCCCAGGAAAGGUGCUGGCUGGGUGCUUGCAGCCACCAGCGGCCAGAAACGGAGAGGAGCCAUCUUCCUCUACAGCCUCUGGAGGGAGCAGACCAUCUUUACCUCGGCCUUGGGGCCUCCAGAAGCAUGGGAAAAUACAUGUCUGUUGUUUUAAGCCACUAAGUUUGGGGUCAUUUGUUAGAGCAGCUCUAGGAAGCCAGUGUAUCAGGGGAAGUGGUGGUGGAUGACCGGACAGGAGGGGAACUGCCCAGGACAUGGCGAAGGGCUGGGGAGGAAGCCUGCACCCCCAUUGGGGGGUCUCCUGUCUGCUCAGCGCUCUCUGGCCACUAGAGAUUUUAUCAUGUGGAUAAACACUCAUUUGGAAAGGUGGCCCGGGCCAAGGUACCUUCCACACAGUGCGUGAGAAGCUCAAGAGGGUUUCCUGGGAGCUGAAUUCCGCCCCAGGAGACGAAAGCCGAGGAGGCCCCAGUGAGCACAGGCCGUGGCAGGGGACAGACAUUACCAGGGGUCCACUGUUCGGCAUCACUGGGGGUCCUGGACCCUCCCAGAGUCUGACACACAACCAUGACUUUGCAGAAAAUGUGUGUUCAAACGUGUACACACAGGCAUUCACACGUGCACACAUACACACACUCGUGCACACAUUGUGGCAAAGGCCGCGGUCAGCCUUCUCUAACUCUGAGCUUGGUGAGCACAGAGUGCAGGGAUAGCUCAGCGUCCAGCCCAGAGUGACGAAUGUGGCAGGUGGAUACUGAUGGGGGAAACAAAGGCAAAAGAGAAAUUAUUACAUUUCCUUAACUACCUGCAGCAUGUUGACAAGUCCUCAAAACAGGCAGAGUGACAUUCCUCUAAGGUCUCAACUGCCCUGAUGUUGACACUCUGCUAAGGGCAAAAGGCCAUCCUAGCCUGACCCCCGCACCCCAUGAUCCUGUAAGUUUACUUGAACAUAUAAAAAUUCCUUUGGAAACUUCCCUUCUCUCUACCCCUGCCCCAGGAUGUUGGCAAGCAUCCCCCAAACGUAUGACCCACCAAUAUACAUCUGAAGGGUCUCAUGACUGAGAAUUUAUUAGACGGUAAUAAAUGACCUUUUCCUAAUAAUAGGUAGCACCCUCAAGGUCCUGGGAUUGAGUCCCGCUGCUUCUCCCUCUCCGUGCUGCUGCCCUACUUGUACAUGCUCUCUAUGUCAAAUAAAAUCUUAAAAAACAAACAAAAAAACAGUAUAUAAUGGACCGCUCAUGACCCCCGUGCAGCUCUUUCUGCCCAUGGGUCCCCCGUCCCUGUGCUUUCAUAAAACCACCUUUUUGCACCAAGGACAUCUCAAGAAUUAUUUCUUGGCCGUCGGCUUCGAACCCUAACGUCUUUCCUACAUCAGGUAUCACCCUAAGGGCAAGUACUGUUACAUGGAAGACACUGCUGGGUAUUUGGGCAGCUUCUGAAGCUGGGCCAUAUGACCUGGAGGAAGCAGGGAGACUGGUCAGUCUGGUUUCUUGCUUUUUACAGAACACGUGGUGUAAAGGAAAACACCUGCAACACUUUAUACCAAAGUGUCCCACAGAGUAACUCAGUUCUGACACUAUUUGCCCGGCAUGAGCGCAGACCCCCCCCCCCCCCGGGGGGCCCCC